Molecule: transfer RNA, 74 nt
Filed under: Cordylochernes scorpioides
Lineage: Eukaryota; Metazoa; Arthropoda; Arachnida; Pseudoscorpiones; Chernetidae
Description: tRNA-Thr
Rfam family: tRNA
About the family: Transfer RNA (tRNA) molecules are approximately 80 nucleotides in length. Their secondary structure includes four short double-helical elements and three loops (D, anti-codon, and T loops).
Source: RNAcentral
GUCCAGGGUAGCCUAGUGGUCAUGGUAACUGCCCGGUAAGGGAAGGUCGUGGGUUCGAUUCCCAUCCCUUGACA